GGGGUUGUGGCUCAGUGGUAGAGCACUUGCCUUGCACGCAUGAGGCACUGGGUUCAAUCCUCAGCACCCCA
RNAcentral lists this transfer RNA (71 nucleotides) under Marmota marmota marmota (Alpine marmot). It matches the Rfam family "tRNA". From Rfam's summary of the family: Transfer RNA (tRNA) molecules are approximately 80 nucleotides in length. Their secondary structure includes four short double-helical elements and three loops (D, anti-codon, and T loops). RNAcentral also lists the same sequence under 1 other name. Lineage: Eukaryota; Metazoa; Chordata; Mammalia; Rodentia; Sciuridae. The record is from Rfam by way of RNAcentral.